This 211-nucleotide unclassified non-coding RNA is filed under the name plant metagenome. Its description in RNAcentral is "partial contains small subunit ribosomal RNA, internal transcribed spacer 1, and 5.8S ribosomal RNA". The record is from RNAcentral.
UUUCCGUAGGUGAACCUGCGGAAGGAUCAUUCAUAAUAAAGUGUUUUAUGGCACUUUUUAAAAAUCCAUAUCCACCUUGUGUGCAAUGUUAGAUCUCGUCAAUCUUGGCGAGAUUUUUAUACAUCAACUCAUUCUUUAACUCAUUUGUCUGAAAAAUAUUAUUAAUACUUAAUUCAAAAUACAACUUUCAACAACGGAUCUCUUGGCUCUC